GACGAACGCUGGCGGCGUGCUUAACACAUGCAAGUCGAACGGUAAGGCCCUUCGGGGUACACGAGUGGCGAACGGGUGAGUAACACGUGGGUGAUCUGCCCUGCACUUCGGGAUAAGCCUGGGAAACUGGAUCUAAUACCGGAUAGGACCAUUGCCUGCAUGGGUGGUGGUGGAAAGCUUUUGCGGUGUGGGAUGGGCCCGCGGCCUAUCAGCUUGUUGGGGGGGUGAUGGCCUACCAAGGCGACGACGGGUAGCCGGCCUGAGAGGGUGACCGGCCACACUGGGACUGAGAUACGGCCCAGACUCCUACGGGAGGCAGCAGUGGGGAAUAUUGCACAAUGGGCGCAAGCCUGAUGCAGCGACGCCGCGUGAGGGAUGACGGCCUUCGGGUUGUAAACCUCUUUCAGCACCGACGAAGCGCAAGUGACGGUAGGUGCAGAAGAAGGACCGGCCAACUACGUGCCAGCAGCCGCCGUAA
Molecule: ribosomal RNA, 478 nt
Filed under: uncultured bacterium
Lineage: Bacteria
Description: partial 16S ribosomal RNA
Rfam family: Bacterial small subunit ribosomal RNA
Source: RNAcentral